UGAGCAAUCUGCCCUUCUCAUCGGAAUAAGCGUUGGAAACGACGUCUAAUGCCGAAUACGACCUCCUUUCGCAUGAUCGGAGGUGGAGAACUCCGGCGGAGAAGGAUGACCUCGCGGCCUAUCAGCUAGUUGGUGUGGGUAAUGGCCCACCAAGGCGACGACGGGUAGCCGGCCUGAGAGGGCGACCGGCCACACUGGGACUGAGACACGGCCCAGACCUCCGUACGGGGAGGNAGCG
Molecule: ribosomal RNA, 238 nt
Filed under: uncultured bacterium
Lineage: Bacteria
Description: partial 16S ribosomal RNA
Rfam family: Bacterial small subunit ribosomal RNA
Source: RNAcentral